Molecule: long non-coding RNA, 702 nt
Filed under: Capra hircus (goat)
Lineage: Eukaryota; Metazoa; Chordata; Mammalia; Artiodactyla; Bovidae
Description: lncRNA (ENSCHIG00010022616.1)
Source: RNAcentral
CGGACGCGCGGCGGGCCCUCGGGGUCCCGGGCUUCCCGCUGGGAGCGGGGGCGGGGGCGGCGCGCCGAGGUGAGACCCCCCCCGACUGCCCCCAGGCCUCGGGGGAUGGGGAGCCGCCGCUGUCCUCCCAUUCCGAGCAGUUGGCGGGCGGGGGCCGGAGGGACCCCUGGCGCCCUCUGGCGCGUCCCUGUCACCGGCCCGGGUCAAGUUCCUCGCCUCACGCCUCCCAGCCCGAGUCCUCUUGGAAGGGUUUUUCACCUGCCGUGUUUACAGCCACCGGCCAGGGGGAAAGUCUAGCAAGUCAAGACAAGGAAAGGGGGUCGGGGUGGGGGGGGUGUCUCUUUUCUCCGCUUUUGUUGGGUGGACUCAGAAUUUCUCGAUUUUCCUCUGGGGUAGUAUUUUCACGUUGCCAUCUAACUACGUAAACAAGGACAAAAGAAUAAUGCGUCUGAGACGAUUUUAACUUUUAUGUCGAAACUUUGUGCCAAACCAACCACCCGAUUAAGACGCGGAGAUGAUUUAUCUUCACACUCAGAUUAGCUGUUCAGCAGGGUGAAGAAGUUACACACAGACCAUGUAUAAGUUGUUUGGUGGUUAAAAAACUGGUUCGUUAUUAAUGAUUUAAUGCUCCGAGCAAGAGGUUUAAAGUCCUCUGUCAAAUCAAAUUCGGAAUUUGUUUUUUUUAAUGUAAAAUCCCAUAGA